CAUGAGACUGCUGAUAUUGGACAGCCAAUGUGGUACGGUAGCAUUGAGAUGGUAAUUCUCAGAGAGAUAAAGCAUGGUGAGCGAUGUGAGAUUAACAUGUGAUAUAGAAGCAGAUGCAAUAGGGAGGUCAGUAUCGGACAAACACAAGUCUAACAGAGAAGAGAGCAUGUUAAUCUCAUCAAGCCAGUUGGCUGCCUUUGAGAGGUUGACGCCGCUCAAGUCAAGCGAGUGCAAAGAAGGGA
RNAcentral lists this long non-coding RNA (242 nucleotides) under Elaeis guineensis (African oil palm). Its description in RNAcentral is "long non-coding RNA (EGUI_LNC023024)". Lineage: Eukaryota; Viridiplantae; Streptophyta; Magnoliopsida; Arecales; Arecaceae. The record is from RNAcentral.